RNAcentral lists this ribosomal RNA (292 nucleotides) under uncultured Planctomycetota bacterium. Its description in RNAcentral is "uncultured planctomycete partial 16S ribosomal RNA". Lineage: Bacteria; Pseudomonadati; Planctomycetota. The record is from RNAcentral.
GGACUACCGGGGUUUCUAAUCCCGUUCGCUCCCCUGGCUUUCGUGCCUCAGCGUCAGUUGAGACCCAGUGUGUCGCUUUCGCCACCGGCGUUCCUUCCAAUAUCAACACAUUUCACCGCUCCACUGGAAGUUCCACACACCCCUAUCUCACUCCAGCCAUCCAGUUCAGAACGCAAUUCCCCGGUUGAGCCGGGGGCUUUCACACCCUGCUUAGAUAGCCGCCUACGCACCCUUUAAGCCCAGUGAUUCCGAAUAACGUUUGCACAGUUCGUAUUACCGCGGCUGCUGGCAC